GAACGGGAUUUAGUAGACAGAAGCUUCGGUGGAAGAUUACUAAUGAGAGUGGCGAACGGGUGAGUGACGCGUGAGCAACCUGCCUAUGACAGUGGGAUAGCCUCGGGAAACCGGGAUUAAUACCGCAUAAAAUCGUAGAAACACAUGUUUUAGCGGUCAAAGAUUUAUCGGUCAUAGAUGGGCUCGCGUCUGAUUAGCUAGUUGGUGAGAUAACAGCCCACCAAGGCGACGAUCAGUAGCCGGUCUGAGAGGAUGAACGGCCACAUUGGAACUGAGACACGGUCCAAACUCCUACGGGAGGCAGCAGUGGGGAAUAUUGCACAAUGGGGGAAACCCUGAUGCAGCGACGCCGCGUGAACGAAGAAGGUAUUCGUAUCGUAAAGUUCUGUCCUAUGGGAAGAUAAUGACAGUACCAUAGAAGAAAGCUCCGGCUAAAUACGUGCCAGCAGCCGCGGUAAUACGUAUGGAGCGAGCGUUGUCCGGAAUUAUUGGGCGUAAAGGGUACGCAGGCGGUUUAAUAAGUCGAAUGUUAAAGAUCGGGGCUCAACCCCGUAAAGCAUUGGAAACUGAUAAACUUGAGUAGUGGAGAGGAAAGUGGAAUUCCUAGUGUAGUGGUGAAAUACGUAGAUAUUAGGAGGAAUACCAGUAGCGAAGGCGACUUUCUGGACACAAACUGACGCUGAGGUACGAAAGCGUGGGGAGCAAACAGGAUU
Molecule: ribosomal RNA, 713 nt
Filed under: uncultured Eubacteriales bacterium
Lineage: Bacteria; Bacillati; Bacillota; Clostridia; Eubacteriales
Description: bacterial SSU rRNA
Rfam family: Bacterial small subunit ribosomal RNA
Source: RNAcentral